AUUUUUUGAGGGCAAACUUGCCGAAAGGCAGGGACUCAAAGCCAAGGAUUUAAAGCGUUUAGAAAACGCUAUGACAGCCUUGCUGCAAAA
This 90-nucleotide non-coding RNA is filed under the name Clostridium sp. RNAcentral describes it as "c-di-GMP sequence". It matches the Rfam family "c-di-GMP-I riboswitch aptamer". From Rfam's summary of the family: GEMM was predicted in a large-scale screen for bacterial structured RNA regulatory elements. Genes associated with GEMM are involved in a diverse array of functions, including chemotaxis regulation, signal transduction, secretion and chitin. The record is from RNAcentral. Lineage: Bacteria; Bacillati; Bacillota; Clostridia; Eubacteriales; Clostridiaceae.